RNAcentral lists this microRNA precursor (62 nucleotides) under Petromyzon marinus (sea lamprey). Its description in RNAcentral is "Pma-Mir-30-P1o3b_pre stem-loop". It matches the Rfam family "mir-30 microRNA precursor family", at positions 1 to 60 of the family's 77-position model. From Rfam's summary of the family: This family consists of the mammalian microRNA (miRNA) precursor mir-30a. Animal miRNAs are transcribed as ~70nt precursors and subsequently processed by the Dicer enzyme to give a ~22nt product. In this case the mature sequence comes from both the 3' (miR-30) and 5' (mir-97-6) arms of the precursor. The record is from RNAcentral. Lineage: Eukaryota; Metazoa; Chordata; Hyperoartia; Petromyzontiformes; Petromyzontidae.
UGUAAACAUCCUCGACUGGAAGCCCGUGCUUUGACAAGUGCUUUUAGUCGGAUGUUUGCGUC